GUCUACGGCCAUGUCACCCUGAACAAGCCUGAUCUUGUCUUACCUCGGAAGCUAAGCAGGGUCGGGCCUGGGUAGUACUUGGAUGGGAGACCAUCUAGGAAGACUAGGUGCUGUAGGCG
This 119-nucleotide ribosomal RNA is filed under the name Pteropus alecto (black flying fox). The record is from RNAcentral. Lineage: Eukaryota; Metazoa; Chordata; Mammalia; Chiroptera; Pteropodidae.